ACGGAGGCCUGCUCCCCCUGGGGGAGGGCAGGCUGGAUCCCUCUCCACCCUGCCCGCUCACCCAGCCCAAGCCUGCACCUAGCUCUACACCUGCCUGUUGAAUGAAUGGACGCCAUGGGGGAGUGUGGCCCUUAUGAGGAAUAAUCACGGCAAGGACAACGAAAGGAAAAAAACCUGUCUGACAGAGGAGACCCUACACACGCGCAGAAAGUCUCCUUGGAGUCAAGAAAGAAAGUAGAAAAGAAUUAGUCACUCAGUCGUGCCUGACUCUUAGCGACCCCAUGGACUGUAGCCCGCCAGGCUCCUCUGUCCAUGGAAUUCUCCAGGCAAGAAUACUGGAGUGGGUUGCCAUUUCCUUCGCCAGGAGAUCUUUCCAACCCAGGGCCACCAGACCUUCUUCAAUCAUCCCAGGCAAAGGGUUCAAGGACCACGUGGAUGAGAGGUGCUGACUGGUUCAGACUAGCUCUGCUUUGCAACCUCUGACCCCAAGAGCAUCAGUUUCCUCACCUGUGCAGUGAAGUAAGGGAUUGAUCCUCACUGCUGAGCUGGGCAGAGGUUUAAGUGAGCCACUCACUCUGGUUCAGACAUGAGGACAAGAAUGUGGUGGACAUUCAACACACACAUUUUCUACAGGUCUUGUCCCUGCUGCAAAUGAAAUGAGAAGAUAUUCAUGUAAGGACACACACCAUGACAAAAGCAAAAUGACAAGGAAGCACCAAACCAAAAGCAAAGUUGUGUCGUCAUUCUUGUUGACUCCAGACCUGCCACCUCUCUAACUUCCACCGUCAUUCCUUACCGUUACAUCAUGUGUUUGUGCUUCUGGGUCUUGAUCCAUCAUCUUUUGACAUCACUUCUGAUUGGGGAGAAUAUACACGGCUCCAUCUUCCCAUCACUCUUCUCUGCCUUGGAAGUGGUAUCACUGUUCUCAGACCCUCAACUCGGCCCCGCCUUCAGCUUUAAUUCCCUUUUUCACUCUGCCAACCCUGAAUAUCUCCCUUGGCUCCCAUGUUUAUAAAAGGAGGACUCAACCUCCCCUGUGUUUCUCCCCGCCGGACCACCUGCCCUGAAGGUCCAGAUUUUCAUUUUACAUUUCAGAGCAAGUAUUCUGCGGUUUAAACACCCACCACUUCCUGCAGUGUACAGUGGAAUAUGACUCAGCCAGAAAAAGGAAAGAAAUUGUACAAUCUACAGUGAUAUGAGCGGACCUAGAGUCUGUUAUACAGAGUGAAGUAAGUCAGAAAGAGAAAAACAAAUAUAUUAAUAAAUAUAUACGGAAUCUAGAAAAAGGAUACAAGUGAACCUCUUUGCAGGACAGGAAUAGAGACACAGUCGUAGAGAAUGAACAUGUGGACACAGUGGGGAAGGGGGAGUGGGGCGAACUGGGAGAGUAACAAUGGCAUGUAUGACAUCUGUAUGUAUGAUAGAUGGCCGGUGGAAAACCUCUGUGUAGCACAGGAGCUCAGCGCUGUACUCUGUGAUAACCUAGA
This is a long non-coding RNA of Dama dama (fallow deer), 1487 nucleotides long. RefSeq lists it as uncharacterized. The transcript is spliced from 4 exons. NCBI's taxonomy places the organism in Eukaryota, Metazoa, Chordata, Mammalia, Artiodactyla, Cervidae. The record is from RefSeq and is a predicted model, not a curated record.